This 492-nucleotide ribosomal RNA is filed under the name uncultured bacterium. Its description in RNAcentral is "partial 16S ribosomal RNA". It matches the Rfam family "Bacterial small subunit ribosomal RNA", at positions 29 to 507 of the family's 1533-position model. The record is from RNAcentral.
AGUGAACGCUGGCGGUAGGCCUAACACAUGCAGGUCGAACGGCAGCACAGUAAGAGCUUGCUCUUACGGGUGGCGAGUGGCGGACGGGUGAGGAAUACAUCGGAAUCUACUUUUUCGUGGGGGAUAACGUAGGGAAACUUACGCUAAUACCGCAUACGACCUACGGGUGAAAGCAGGGGAUCUUCGGACCUUGCGCGAUUGAAUGAGCCGAUGUCGGAUUAGCUAGAUGGCGGGGUAAAGGCCCACCAAGGCGACGAUCCGUAGCUGGUCUGAGAGGAUGAUCAGCCACACUGGAACUGAGACACGGUCCAGACUCCUACGGGAGGCAGCAGUGGGGAAUAUUGGACAAUGGGCGCAAGCCUGAUCCAGCCAUACCGCGUGGGUGAAGAAGGCCUUCGGGUUGUAAAGCCCUUUUGUUGGGAAAGAAAAGCAGCAGGUUAAUACCCCGCUGUUCUGACGGUACCCAAAGAAUAAGCACCGGCUAACUUCGUG